Molecule: small nuclear RNA, 312 nt
Filed under: Octodon degus (degu)
Lineage: Eukaryota; Metazoa; Chordata; Mammalia; Rodentia; Octodontidae
Description: 7SK RNA (ENSODEG00000024709.1)
Rfam family: 7SK RNA
About the family: 7SK was discovered as an abundant small nuclear RNA in the mid-70s but a possible function has only recently been suggested. Two independent studies have found that 7SK RNA binds the CDK9/cyclin T complex (known as elongation factor P-TEFb).
Source: Rfam by way of RNAcentral
GGAUACGAGGGAGAUCUGGCUGUGAUAUGUGUUACUCGUUGAUUGCCAGGACUGAUCAGCUGAUUGGCUGGCUAGACAAUGUCCCUUUCCUCCCUCAGAGCCCCAUGUGCAUCCCUCCCAAAGCUAGGCACUUGUUUGAAGAGGAUGACCACCUUCGUAGAGAAGGACCACUUCCUAGGGCAAGGAGUCCUUUGCUCGAACUUCCAAACAAGCACUCAAGACCAGUCUGCACUAUAUAGGGAAAAGGUAUCUUAAAAAAAACAAAUCAACUAAGACUGGGGUACAGCUCGGUGAUGGUGUUUGCCUACCAUA